This is a long non-coding RNA of Hordeum vulgare subsp. vulgare (domesticated barley), 282 nucleotides long. RefSeq lists it as uncharacterized. The transcript is spliced from 2 exons. The record is from RefSeq and is a predicted model, not a curated record. Lineage: Eukaryota; Viridiplantae; Streptophyta; Magnoliopsida; Poales; Poaceae.
CAGGGAUGUCAGCCCAGAUGGAUUCUGCUUCUACAUCAAUUUGUUUAACGAGAUUGAUCCCCAGAAUAUUUAUUCGCCAAAAACACAUGGACUAUACCACACUUGGAUCUCUGUGGCAAUGGCAGCACAUUGACACAAUUUUGAUUCAUGAAAAAGUGGAGUUCAGCUGACUGAACUUUGAUGUGACUUUUUGCCUGAAUGUUCCGCCGUGUUGUAUCUUAUUUACAAAUUACAAGGCAUAACGUUUUCAUCAUUUGGUUGAUCAAUGACUUCUGGUGUGCC